AUCUUUCUCAUGCCUCCUUGAACUUGUUACAUUUGCACCACAUUUUUUCAAAUUCAUGACUAUGGUCAAUGCUAUCAUUUGUUGGUGUUUGUAUAAUACAAUUAUAUUUGAUAUAUAAGAACAAUAUCACGAGUAGUCUUUCUCUUUCGUUUUCCUUUCUGGAUUUCAUUAUACUGACAUCGAUAUCUUCAAUACUUUUUCUCCACUGUUCCAUUUUUCAUUAAAGCUUACACUUUACUUGUGCUUUGCACUUAAAGCCCCAAGUCCCAAUAGACCUUAGAGAAUUUUUAUGCUUUUCGCUUUUGAUAUCACUGUGGUAGGCUGAAAAAAGGCAAUAGAGCAUGUAGUGCUUCCUGAUAAAAAUAAAAGUAAUUUUUUUUAGAAAAUGUACUACUUUACUGGAGGGGAUGGGUGUUGUUGAUCUCAGGUAUUUCACAAACAGUUUGCCCACCUGGUACAACUACAAGUGUACAGGCCCAUGUUGUGCAUUGCUAGAAUCCAACGUGUGUGUCGAAGUAAAUCCCUCUUAAGGUGGUUCUUUGUGACAAUGAAGGUGAGAAGUGGGAUGUUGGACCAUUGGAGGAGGAUUAGUGUAAAUGGAGACCAGAAGGCUGUGAAACAUGGAGUGUCCCCCUCCCCCCCCCCCCCCGCUGUAGAGAUAUGAUGUAUACAUUGUCAUUUCUUUGUUGACUCCUUUUACUUGUAUAUAGGAGAAAAUUAUGUUAUGUUUGACCAUCCACUGUUAAAGAUUGAUUUUACUUGAACCUCUAUAUGUGACAGCUAACUGCAUAUGAAUCACAUAUAUUGAAAGUUAAAAGUGAAGAUUGUAGUUGCUUGAUGCAAAGCAAUUUCUAGCGAAGGGAUUCUCUUCGUCUUUGUUUUGAUUGAUGAACUUUUUGACGAUAUCAGUGAACUAAAUCUACCUGAAACAUGUAGCAUAUCAUUCCCUAACGGAAAAGAUGACCUCAUGAACUUUGAAGUCACCAUUCGUCCUGAUGAAGGAUAUUAUGUGGGUGGAACUUUUGUCUUCUCUUUCAGCAUUUCUUCUAUUUAUCCUCCUGAGGCUCCAAAGGUCAAGUGCAAGACUAAGGAGACCAUAAGAAAUUGGAAAUGGAUAAUCUGCUUACUAUUUUGACUCCCACGGUUUCAACUCAACUAUGAAUUGUAUAUGUCAAGGUUCGGAUAAAAGAAAGGAUCAUGAUGAAGUUUCUCCAAUAAAUGAUGGAUUUUUGGGUUUUUGAUUCUUUCGGACAAAACGUUAUAGAACUGCGGUAUAUGGUUAUCUAAAUAGAAGAGUUGAUGUUGUGCCUUCAACUGGCAUGAGUUUGUGGCUGUAGCAGUACUUAAUCCUAAGAAAAGUGAAGCUUCUCUUACACUUUUAAUUUUUUUAUUCAUUAGUUUAAAGGAAACUAAUGACUUUAAUUUCAACUAUUGUCUGGCGUGUCAAAAUUUUAUUUGCUUAGACUUUUAAUUUUUUUAUUGAACAAGUUGGAAUGCAAUCUCAAGAGGAAGUAGUUGAUGAA
Long non-coding RNA from Solanum lycopersicum (tomato), 1523 nucleotides. RefSeq lists it as uncharacterized. Lineage: Eukaryota; Viridiplantae; Streptophyta; Magnoliopsida; Solanales; Solanaceae. The record is from RefSeq and is a predicted model, not a curated record.